AAUGAUGAAGGCAUGUUCCUACCACCUUUCUUUAGAUGCAGAGAGGGACCCUGAAAAUAGUUCCCAAGUUGCUAGAUCACAGAACACUAUCUCAGCCCCCACCUCUCAGGAUGUCAGCAAGAUCCGAUAUGAACCACCCAAGAAGGAAAGUGCCCGUCCUAAGUGGAAGAACCUUGAAGUUAAGCCCUCCCUCAACUAAAAUACAGCUUCCUUCCAGAAGGGAAAUGAAUCUCUGUCAUGUCCCAGUGAUGAGAGAGGAAAAACGUCCUCUGUUGACUGAGCAACUGGAUUCCUGGGACUGAUAGAGUCAACUGGAUAUUUGAAGGCAUGCUGUGUCUUUGUAAUGUACAUGUCAGAUUCUGUGUUGUAGAAGCUUCGUUUUGGUGUUAUCAGGACUCCUAUGAUGUAUACGGGAUUUCUGUAGGUCCUAUGUGUGUUAGAAACUUGGCCCCGGUGUGGCAAGAGGAGUCGUGGAAUCCUUGAGUUGUGAAGCUUAAUGGAGGUCAUCUCAAUUUGGAAAGGUAUUAAUAUAGUUUUAAUGAGACGUCAGU
RNAcentral lists this long non-coding RNA (551 nucleotides) under Ictidomys tridecemlineatus (thirteen-lined ground squirrel). RNAcentral describes it as "lncRNA (ENSSTOG00000031951.1)". Lineage: Eukaryota; Metazoa; Chordata; Mammalia; Rodentia; Sciuridae. The record is from RNAcentral.